GACGAACGCUGGCGGCGUGCUUAACACAUGCAAGUCGAACGGAAAGGCCCUGCUUUCAGGGUACUCGAGUGGCGAACGGGUGAGUAACACGCGGGUGAUCUGCCCUGCACUUCGGGAUAAGCUUGGGAAACUGGGUCUAAUACCUGAUAGGACCGCUCUUUAGUGUGUGUGGUGGAAAGUUUUUUCGGUGUAGGAUGAGCGCGCGGCCUAUCAGCUUGUUGGUGGGGUAAUGGCCUACCAAGGCGGCGACGGGUAGCCGGCCUGAGAGGGUGGACGGCCACAUGGGGACUGAGAUACGGACCAGAAUCCUACGGGAGGCAGCAGUGGGGAAUAUUGCACAAUGGGCGCAAGCCUGAUGCAGCGACGCCGCGUGGGUGAUGAAGGCCUUCGGGUUGUAAACUCCUUUCGCUAGGGACGAAGCUUUUUGUGACGGUACCUAGAUAGAAGCACCGGCUAACUACGUG
This 464-nucleotide ribosomal RNA is filed under the name uncultured bacterium. RNAcentral describes it as "partial 16S ribosomal RNA". It matches the Rfam family "Bacterial small subunit ribosomal RNA", at positions 28 to 507 of the family's 1533-position model. The record is from RNAcentral.